AGCCCUUUGCUAAAGAGGAUGUCAUUUAAGUCUCCAAACAGAAAUCUCUGCCCUGCAGCACUGCAGAAAUCCUGGUCAGCCCUGGCUAAAAGCUCAGGCUAAACUUGGUUCCGUGAGUCACCGCUGCACUGACUUCAUACCGCAGGCACGACGGAGCAACGGCGGUGAUGCUGAGAGACACCAGAGCAGAGAAGAGGGGACAAAUAACGAGAAGCAAAAAUAAAGUGCCAGUUUCUCCUCUACGAUGGCUACAAGGAGUCAGCCACAGGAUUCCCACUCUAAUGAUACAAGUCAGACAGCUCUGAGUACCUGCGUGCCAGGAACGGGGCUGUGAGACAGCUGGCUCCUCCAGCAGCGGCUACGAGGAGCGCUCCAGCCGUGCCUGGGUCUGCAGCAUCCCUGGGUGCGGAGGGACGGCGGGACACGCCCGCUACCGGCACCGGCACCGGCACCGGUACCUCUUGUUGGGCAGCAGGGCGGAGCCUUUCGGCCGGAGCUGCUCCGCCUCUGGCUCAGAGAACAGGCUUGGUCACGGAUUUCCUCCGCUGGAGAGAAAAACAACUGAAAUGUUUGGAGUGUCCUGACUUGUACUGAGAAUGAUUCCCAAGAUAUCUGAAGUCCACUGGAAGUAUUCUUGGUUCAGCAGGCAGAACUGACUCAUAUGCUGACACAAAGAUUUUAACAUUUCUUUUCAUAUGAAAUAACAGCAAAAUUCUCAGUGGAAUUUUGCAGGGCCCAAGUCUGGGUGGCUUUGAUCCAGCAUUAAAUUGUUUUCGGUGGCAACAGAGUGCAGAGGCUUUUUGAUGAGUUAUGGCCAAGGUCCUCUGAAUUCUUGAGUUCUCCCCAGCUGCUGGUGCUACAGGAGACUGCAAGAAUUUGACAAAAGUCUGUAUGGUGGCAUUUUGUUUUGUGUUUUUAAUGUUGUAAGAAUGAGAAAAGCACCUGCUCCUUACAAGAUUUUUGCUAUGUCUAAGUUACUGUUAGCCCCUUACCUAAAUGUGCUGUACCAGCCCAUAGGCUGCCCCCAGAGCACAGAAUCAAACCAAACUGUGAAGGAAUAGCAUCUGCAAGUCUUCUCUUCU
This 1082-nucleotide long non-coding RNA is filed under the name Serinus canaria (Common canary). RNAcentral's name for it is "lncRNA (ENSSCAG00000002459.1)". Lineage: Eukaryota; Metazoa; Chordata; Aves; Passeriformes; Fringillidae. The record is from RNAcentral.